CCUGCCAGUAAUGAUAUGCUUGCAUAAAGGACUAAGCCAUGCAUGUAUAAGUUCACACCUUUAUAAGGUGAAACCGCAUAUGGCUCAUUAAAUCAGUUAUAAUUCCUUAGAUCUUAUAUCCCUCUACUUGGAUAACUGUAGAAAUUCUAGAGCUAAUACAUGCCUUUAAUGCCUUAGCCUUCGGGUUAGGGUGGAUUUAUUAGAUCAAAACCAACACGUGCUUCGGUGCGUUAGGUUUGAUGACUCUGGAUAACUCUACCUGAUCGCAUGGCCUUGUGCCAGCGACGUAUCUUCCAAGUUGCUGCCCUAUCAACUUUCGAUGGUAGGUUAUAUGCCUACCAUGGUUGUAACGGGUAACGGGGAAUCAGGGUUCGAUUCCGGAGAGGGAGCCUUAGAAAUGGCUGCUACAUCUAAGGAAGGCAGCAGGCGCGCAAUUUACCCACUGUUAGUGAACAGCGAGGUAGCGACAAUAAAUAACAAUACAGAACUCUAUUGAGGCUCUGUAAUUGGAAUGAGUACAAUUUAAAUCCUUUAACGAGGAACAAUUGGAGGGCAAGUCUGGUGCCAGCAGCCGCGGUAAUUCCAGCUCCAAUAGCGUAUAUUAAAAUUGUUGCAGUUAAAAAGCUCGUAGUUGGAUCUGAGGUUGUGGAUGCAUUGUUUGCCUUCUAGGCAUUACUUUGCAUCCCACCUUCUUAGUCGUAGCUAUUGCUAGUACUCUUCAUUGAGUCGCUAGUGAUGCACGGCAUGUUUACUUUGAAAAAAUUAGAGUGCUUAAAGCAGGCUUUUUGCCUGUAUAUUGUUGCAUAGAAUAAUAUAAAAAGGCUCCGCUAACAUUUUGUUGGUUUUCGUUAUUAUGCGGAGCAAUGAUUAAAAGGAGUAGAACGGGGGCAAAAGUAUGGCCACGAUAGAGGUGAAAUUCGUUGACCGUGGCCCGACUGCCUACAGCGAAAGCAUUUGCCAAGAAUGCCUUCAUUAAUCAAGAACGAAAGUCAGAGGUUCGAAGACGAUCAGAUACCGUCCUAGUUCUGACUGUAAACUAUGCCAACUGACCAUCAUAGCGAUAUUUCGUUGCUAUGGCAGUCCCAGGGAAACCUAAAGUUAGGUUCUGGGGGGAAUAUGGUCGCAAGUCCGAAACUCAAAGGAAUUGACGGAAGGGCACCACCAGGAGUGGAGCCUGCGGCUUAAUUUGACUCAACACGGGAAAACUCACCCGGCCCGGACACUAUAAGGAUUGACAGAUUGAUAGAUCUUUCAUGAUCUAGUGAAUGGUGGUGCAUGGCCGUUCUUAGUUGGUGGAGUGAUUUGUCUGGUUAAUUCCGAUAACGAACGAGACUCACACCUGCUAAAUAGUGCACUCAUACGGAGAAUUUAUGCUACCGUAGUGAGUGUUACUUCUUAGAGGGAUUAGUGACUUCUAGUCACAUGAAAUUGAGCAAUAACAGGUCUGUGAUGCCCUUAGAUGUCCGGGGCCGCACGCGCGCUACAAUGACAGUGGCAAAAAGUACCCGGCCUGAAAAGGCUAGGCAAUCUUUAAAUCACUGUCGCGUCAGGGAUCAGGGUUUGUAAUUAUCCCCUGUGAACGAGGAAUUCCCAGUAAGCAUACGUCAUCAGCUUAUGCUGAUUACGUCCCUGCCCUUUGUACACACCGCCCGUCGCUACUACCGAUUGAAUGGUUUAGUGAGGUUAUCGGAUUGGGAGCAUAAGAGUAGCUUGCUACCCUUAAUGUUACUGAAAAGAUAAUCAAACUUGAUCAUUUAGAGGAAGUAAAAGUCGUAACAAGGCAGCCGUAGGUGAACCUGCAGAUGGAU
RNAcentral lists this ribosomal RNA (1808 nucleotides) under Pseudograffilla arenicola. RNAcentral describes it as "SSU rRNA". It matches the Rfam family "Eukaryotic small subunit ribosomal RNA". The record is from RNAcentral. Lineage: Eukaryota; Metazoa; Platyhelminthes; Rhabdocoela; Graffillidae.